AGAGGAGGACAGGUCGGGGGAGAGGAGGACAGGUCGGGAGAGAGGAGGACAGGUCGGGGGAGAGGAGGACAGGUCGGGGGAGAGGACAGGUCGGGGGAGAGGACAGGUCGGGGGGAGAGGACAGGUCGGGGGAGAGGACAGGUCGGGGGAGAGGACAGGUCGGGGGAGAGGACAGGUCGGGGGAGAGGACAGGUCGGGGGGGGAGGCUCUUCAGGAGGUUUAGUGAAUGUAGGCUCUGUAGACAGCUGACAUGUCGUUGUCUGACUGGUCCAGCGCUUUAGCCCUCUUGUAGACCUACAGACAGAGAGAAAACCAUGGUAAAUAUGUAUAAAGAAGUAACGUUGUCGUAAAGUGAGACAAAACAUACAACUUUAUUGUUCACGGAAACAGAAUUUGGUCCAAAGAAUGUGAGAGGUGUUCCAGAAGAAACCAUCUCACUGGAUGAGAAAACAGAUGGUCUUGUAGCAGGUCUGAUUCUGCUCUGGGAAAUAUGAGGUUUUCAUCAGUGUCUGAGUCCCAGGGGCUUCGUGUC
Oncorhynchus keta (chum salmon) is the source of this 532-nucleotide long non-coding RNA. RefSeq lists it as uncharacterized. The transcript is spliced from 3 exons. Lineage: Eukaryota; Metazoa; Chordata; Actinopteri; Salmoniformes; Salmonidae. The record is from RefSeq and is a predicted model, not a curated record.